Molecule: long non-coding RNA, 2052 nt
Filed under: Betta splendens (Siamese fighting fish)
Lineage: Eukaryota; Metazoa; Chordata; Actinopteri; Anabantiformes; Osphronemidae
Description: lncRNA (ENSBSLG00000013595.1)
Source: RNAcentral
AUGCGCCGAGGGCGGGGCCACCAGUCCGGGGGCAGAGACCGAGACGAGGCAGGAACCAGAGGCGAAGACAGACGUGGGGACGAGACAGGAACCGAUGCAGGUGCGGCCGGAGCCGAGCCGCCAGGAACCGAUGCAGGUGCGGCCGGAGCCGAGCCGCCAGGAACCGAUGCAGGUGCGGCCGGAGCCGAGCCGCCAGGAACCGAUGCAGGUGCGGCCGGAGCCGAGCCGCCAGGAACCGAUGCAGGUGCGGCCGGAGCCGAGCCGCCAGGAACCGAUGCAGGUGCGGCCGGAGCCGAGCCGCCAGGAACCGAUGCAGGUGCGGCCGGAGCCGAGCCGCCAGGAACCGAUGCAGGUGCGGCCGGAGCCGAGCCGCCAGGAACCGAUGCAGGUGCGGCCGGAACGACACCCUCCUGGAGGUGGGCAGGAACUAUGACGGGCGCGACCCCCUCCUGGAGGUCCGCCGGGACUGCGACGGGCGCGACCCCCUCCUGGGGGUCGACGGGAACUACGACGGGCGCGACCCCCUCCUGGAGGUCGACAGGAACUACGACGGGCGCGACCCCCUCCUGGAGGUCCGCCGGGACUGCGACGGGCGCGACCCCCUCCUGGGGGUCGACGGGAACUACGACGGGCGCGACCCCCUCCUGGAGGUCCGCCGGGACUGCGACGGGCGCGACCCCCUCCUGGGGGUCCGCCGGGACUGCGACGGGCGCGACCCCCUCCUGGAGAUCCGCCGGGACCGCGACGGGCGCGACCCCCUCCUGGAGGUCCGCCGGAACUGCGGCUGGCGCGACCCCCUCCUGGAGGUCCGCCGGGACUGCGGCUGGCGCGACCCCCUCCUGGAGGUCCGCCGGAACUGCGGCUGGCGCGACCCCCUCCUGGAGGUCCGCCGGAACUGCGGCUGGCGCGACCCCCUCCUGGAGGUCCGCCGGGACUGCGGCUGGCGCGACCCCCUCCUGGAGGUGCGCGGGAACUGCGGCUGGCGCGACCCCCUCCUGGAGGCGCGCGGGAACUGCGGCUGGCGCGACCUCCUCCUGGAGGUGCGCGGGGACUGCAGCCGGCGCGACCUCCUCCUGGAGGUGCGCGGGGACUGCAGCUGGCGCGACCUCCUCCUGGAGGUGCGCGGGGACUGCAGCUGGCGCGACCUCCUCCUGGAGGUGCGCGGGGACUGCAGCUGGCGCGGCCUCCUCCUGGGGAUGCGCGGGGACUGCAGCUGGCGCGGCCUCCUCCUGGAGGUGCGCGGGGACUGCAGCUGGCGCGGCCUCCUCCUGGAGGUGCGCGGGGGCUGCAGCUGGCGCCGCCUCCUCCUGGAGGCCGGCGGGCGCUGCGGCUCCGAGGGUGACAGGAACUGGAACGGUCGCAACAUGGCCGACAGGGACAGGAACAGGGACUGGAACGACCGCAACAUGGCCGACAGGGACUGGAACGGCAACUACUUGGCCGACAGGGACUGGAACGGCAACUACUUGGCCGACAGGGACUGGAACGGCAUCUACUUGGCCGACAGGGACUGGAACGGCAUCUACUUGGCCGACAGGGACUGGAACGGCACCUACUUGGCCGACAGGGACUGGAACGGCAACUACUUGGCCGACAGGGACAGGAACAGGGACUGGAACGGCCGCAACAUGGCCGACAGGGACUGGAACGGCAACUACUUGGCCGACAGGGACUGGAACGGCAACUACUUGGCCGACAGGGACUGGAACGGCAUCUACUUGGCCGACAGGGACUGGGACGGCAUCUACUUGGCCGACAGGGACUGGAACGGCAUCUACUUGGCCGACAGGGACUGGAACGGCAUCUACUUGGCCGACAGGGACUGGAACGGCAUCUACUUGGCCGACAGGGACUGGAACGGCACCUACUUGGCCGACAGGGACUGGAACGGCACCUACUUGGCCGACAGGGACGGGGACGGCGUCCCCUCCGGAGCCGGCAUGGCUGCUUACAGCUGCCGAGCUCGACGGAGGAGACGUCGGGCCUGAUCGGGUGUGCCUAGCACCCGUUCGACAAGUGGUGCCCUCUGGUUGGGACACGACCUGCGCGUGA